RNAcentral lists this ribosomal RNA (487 nucleotides) under uncultured bacterium. RNAcentral describes it as "partial 16S ribosomal RNA". It matches the Rfam family "Bacterial small subunit ribosomal RNA", at positions 28 to 507 of the family's 1533-position model. The record is from RNAcentral.
GAUGAACGCUAGCGAUAGGCUUAACACAUGCAAGUCGAGGGGCAGCACAAGGUAGCUUGCUAUCUGGGUGGCGACCGGCGCACGGGUGCGUAACGCGUAUGCAACUUGCCCUAUACAGGAGGAUAACCCGUCGAAAGACGGACUAAUACUGCGUAUGCUCACAACUUGGCAUCAAGUGGUGAGGAAAGAAAUUCGGUAUAGGAUAGGCAUGCGUCCCAUUAGCUUGUUGGUGAGGUAACGGCUCACCAAGGCAACGAUGGGUAGGGGAACUGAGAGGUUUAUCCCCCACACUGGUACUGAGACACGGACCAGACUCCUACGGGAGGCAGCAGUAAGGAAUAUUGGUCAAUGGGCGCGAGCCUGAACCAGCCAAGUCGCGUGAAGGAUGACUGUCUUAUGGAUUGUAAACUUCUUUUAUACGGGAAUAACAAGAGUCACGUGUGACUCCCUGCAUGUACCGUAUGAAUAAGCAUCGGCUAACUCCGUG